Siniperca chuatsi (mandarin fish) is the source of this 1905-nucleotide long non-coding RNA. RefSeq lists it as uncharacterized. The transcript has 2 exons. NCBI's taxonomy places the organism in Eukaryota, Metazoa, Chordata, Actinopteri, Centrarchiformes, Sinipercidae. The record is from RefSeq and is a predicted model, not a curated record.
ACUGCAUUUGUUUCCAAAUUUCCGUGCAAAAAUCAACAACAGCACUUUUGAAAUAAGAGAGAAGAAAGAAGCAUGUUCAUUGAAGAGAAGAGGAGGUGGGGGCUACACUACAUCUGACUGCAGCUCGAGACUGCCAUCUAUGGGGACUGAGAAGCUCAGACGAUGGAGAUCCAGCUUGUAGAUAAAACACAAUCACAGUAACUGCAAGGCACUGAGGGUUUUACCACUUACUGUAAAAUCUCCUGAAUAAGAGGAGUGUGUUUCAUGGCUAAAGACUAAAUGAGUCAAUAGUACCACAAAACACCAACAAACUGGAUUUUUGUCAAUGCUAUAGGUUCAUCAAUGCCAAAAGAAACACUAAGGACUUUCAUCUUCCGUAAUGUCGGACUUCCCUUUAUCAAUAUUCAUUGAAAUACAGAGGACCAUCUCUUUGGAACAAUCUACUUGCAUCUCCUCAAUCUACAGCUACAUUAUCAGUAUUUAAAAAACAUCUGAAAAGGACUCUUAUUAGCUAAGAUUUAUGUUCAUGGAUUUCAUUGUAAUGCAUCUCAACUUGUAAACAUGAACUUCCAGGUAAAUUGUACAUUCCUAUCAAUUUUGUAUUAGUGCUUAGUCUUGAAACUUUGAUGAAUUAUGCAAUCUUUGUAUUUAUUUUUGCCUAUAUAAGGGAGAUAUUUCAAUAUUCUCACUGUCUUCAUUUAAAUAUAUGUGCAACUAAACUAAACUAAAAACAUGGGUUCAUUGAUGACAAAAAUAAGUUGAAGAAUAUUGCUAAAUAAGAAAAUAUCCCAUAUGGCAUUUUUGGAAAGCAGCCAAUGAUUCAUAAUCAUUUAUUUUCAGAGAUGUUAAAAAGUAAUGUAGAAAACUGUAGCUUUGAGCAGGAAUUGGAUUUAACCAUAACCAAGUAUUUCACACAUGAAUCAUUCAGCAGAGAGCAUCUUCACAACUUAAAAUACACCUUGCAGACCAUGAAUCAAAGGAAACUACUUGACUGGAAAUAUAAAAUCACCACAGGCAAAAGGUAGUCAGUUUGGCUUUUAGAGCCGGGUCCGCCAAGACCCUCAUGAUCUGAAAUACAAUUUUCAGUACUGAAACGUUUAACGUUUUUUCUUCAAAGGCAAACAUGAAAGUCUAGAUUUACAAAGUCACAGGUCUUACAGCAGGAGGCUGUUUAGACAAAAACAAACCCACAAAACUGAAAGCUUGUUUUUACCUGAAUCCAUGAGCAAGCAAAUCAUAGCUGUGACUUGAUUUUCGAUGAGUACAUUUUUGUGAGCGUGUUGUUGAGAUGGCCAUUUUAUUUAGCCAUGCUGUGUCCAUUUCUCAUUACUUGCGGAUUACCUCUUGAGUCCUUUAUAAUAAGGCCAGCGCUGAAGACAGUAAUCACAGUCUGUCAAAUGCAGCAGGGGGAACAAUGGCUCAUACUCUAUAAACACAGCAAUUUUCUUCAAACUAUCAACUCGUACUACAAAAUAAUAUGACUACACUACCUGCACUGGAAAUAGGCAAUGACAGCAAGAUUGUAUAACUCAACAAAAGGCUGAACAUGUCCAUUAGGAUGACCUGCUAAGCUCUAAGAGAGAAGUUGAAAAAAAGUGUUGAGAAAGUUGAGAGUGUGCUGCUGUUUCCACUCACACAGGGAAGACUUAUACCUUUUAUCGGAGAGCUACUCUUAGAUAUCCUUAAUUAUUCAGGGGCUCUGAAAGUGGGGUCUUUAUAGAGUAAAACAGAGCGGACGUGAUAAUGCAUAGUUCUCUUCUCCAGCCCCGAAAAGGCUUUGAUGUCUUUUUCUCAUCCAAGGAAUAAAAAAACUGUUUCAUACUGAUGUCUGUGUGGAAAAAAAAAAAAAAGAAUUUCUAAGAGUGGAAUCAUCACUUCUGAUAAAAAUAAGACUCCAUCUUUUCA